Electrophorus electricus (electric eel) is the source of this 1284-nucleotide non-coding RNA. Lineage: Eukaryota; Metazoa; Chordata; Actinopteri; Gymnotiformes; Gymnotidae. The record is from RefSeq and is a predicted model, not a curated record.
AAAUCCCAAAGCCUUCUAGAGCAGUGUAAUCAAUAAUGAAAACUGCACAAGCCUUUAAAGGAUGUUCAAGAAAAUGCUUAUCUAGGAACUGUACAACCAUUCAACUGCCCUACACCUUUAAUGCUUAUGUAUUCCAGGUAUGUGGUGAAAUGUACUUACCAACUCGUGUUACAUGUAGAGGAAUGAUGUCAAUCUGAUCCCAACACUGAGCUAUACAGCUUGAUGAUAAACAGGAAAAGCCAGGUUUAACACUCAGUCCACCUCCCUGAGCUCAGAUGUCAGCAUGGGUGUCGCAAGAGAGGAAAACGAUGAUCAGCACAUCCCUUCUGCGGUCGAGUGGUUUUCCUGCUCCGACGUCCGACCAGAUGAGUGGAGCGUUUCAGAGCAGGAGAAACAUGGAUCGGCAGUGCUGGUGGAUGGAAGACUUGAGUUUGAGCAGCCUGCUUUGUCUGCCUGGGUGCGCCUUACCAAGCAGCAUAAUUGUUGCUGUUCUAUUCCACAUAAAGAUGAGCAGGAAGACGUAGAAAGGCUUGAACCUAGGGCAACCCUCAAUAUCAUCUGAUGAACUACCGACAUUCAAGAAGGUACAUCAACGUGUCUGCCAUACAGGUGGGCGUUGUCUCAGACUGCUGAUCUUAGCUGGGGGACUGAUGUUUCCGGUCACUGGGCUUGUGUGGAUUAAUCGAACAGAUGCUGCACGCCACCAUCAGCCAAACUGGCUGUGACGGACUGCUGUUUCCAGGAUGAGGACGUUCUGUCCUGUGCCACCAUCUCUUAAGGAACCACCCUGGGCCAUGAGGAAUGCCACAGGUGUUUCCAUGUACACGGUUUCUCCUGGCUCUCUUGUUAUUGUUGAUAUGCUCCAGUAAAUCCUCUAAAAGCAGGAUUAACUUGGCUUCAGAUUCUUACUACAGUUGUCUGAAUGCUGAAUUAUUCCAGAGAUGACAUCUCUCCUUCAGACCGAAAACUAUCAAAUAACAAAAACCUCUUGGUAUCUGAGUAAUUUAACCAAUGCAUUUUGAAGGAGAAGCAGAAUACUGGCUCUACUAAUUAGACCAGGUGGUUCUUGGCUAAAGUAGAAUCUGUACAGUUUCAACGGCGGCCGUCUAAAUUAAAUAUAUGAAGUAUUCAAAAAUAAUUACAACAUUUUAUGUUUUUAUAAAACGAGCAGUCAAACGUCAAAUCCCUGUCUUCAGAAUGACCACACCCCCUUUUGGGUGGAAAAACGGUCUAAAAAUACCAGCUCUAAAUUGGACAAAAACAAUAAAACAAUUUUUAAAAGUU